Molecule: ribosomal RNA, 1239 nt
Filed under: Triticum aestivum (bread wheat)
Lineage: Eukaryota; Viridiplantae; Streptophyta; Magnoliopsida; Poales; Poaceae
Description: partial small subunit ribosomal RNA
Source: RNAcentral
AUGACCAUGGAUGCACCUGAGAUGUGUUAUGUUGACCUCCUCCACCAAGACAUCCAGGCAAACAUCUUCUCAUGCCUGCCGGAUCCGACAAGCAUUGCCCACUCUAUGCUAGCUUGCAAAACAUGGUGCCAUUUGAUCACCGACCGUGGCAUCCUUCGCCGUCACCGACCACCUAUGCUCUGUGGCAUUUUUCAAGAGGUCUUCUCACCAGAAGAGUUGGCUAUUCGCUCCAUAUUCUUUAGUCCCAUCGACCAAAUUGCAUCACCCGAACUCGCCGAGAAGACCAACAACAUCCAAGCGAACAAUCCACUGUCUCUACCCAGUGGCCCGUGGUCCAUCGUGGACUCCUUGGAGAACCUUCUCCUCCUUUGCCAUGAACGACUCAUCAUUCACGAGUCGGUCAUGCUCGCGAUAUACAACCCUGUCACCCAUGACUUGCAGGCACUCCCUCCAGUGGUAAACAACCAGUAUUGCUUCUUCUUCGGCGCUGCCAUCUUCAGUGAUGAUGCACUAGCUGCCAAUAAUAGGCGUCUGCUCAGACCUGGAGCCUCAGAUGUGUCGUUCAAGGUGGUGUGUGUGGUGGCGGUACCUGGUGACCACCAUGGUGAGUGGAUCUACCAGACGUUUGUGCACUCGGGUGGCUCCGCUGGUGACAGCAGCUGGAGCACCCUUCCUUAUCGGGCCAGCAGUAUGAGGACCCGCGGCUGGUGCAUUGGUGGUACUCAUGGUGGACAGGCAGCUCGGGCUGGCGCCGCGCUGUUCAAGAGUAUUGGAUGCAUGCACAUGACGGAUGUCAUGAUGAUGUUGAUGCUGGAUAUGCGCACAGGGGGGGCUUCUUUGUUGGUGACGCCGAAGUGUGGCGCGUUCGUGGAUUAUGGCAGGGGAGACGACGAGAAGCUUUGGUUCGUCUGCAUAAAUAAGUUCCUUGUGCUCCGGCUCUACAGCCUACCGAAGCCGCGAGAGGGCAGUAUUACGCGUGUCUUCAAACAGUGCAACCUGGAAAGAGAAGUGGAGCUAUAUCCGAUCAUCACGGGGCUGGUCGCGGACGUUGAUGCGGCCGAUGUCGUCGGGAGCGCUAGCAACGUGCAUUCACGAAAUGGGUACGUCUUCUUCAAGAUAAUCUUCAAGAUGGACAAGUACGACUAUUUUGCGGUGCAUCUCCGGAGCAUGCGUGUGCAGCGGCCGAACGGGGAAUACCGGGGCUCUCUCUAUCCCUUCAUGUGUCGUGAGGAUUCGUAA